UCUUAAAUUCAUAUUUGAUAAAUACUUUAAUAUAUUUGAGAAAAUCUCUGUACAUAUAAACCCUAAUAUUUUCCAUUAAUAUUAGGUUUAAUUUAUAUUUUUUAUUCAAUUUAUAUAUGGCGGAGACUACCAUGGCGGUGGAUGGAGGCGGAGGCUUCUGUUUCUCUCUCUCUAUCUCCUUGGCAGACUUAGAGUAAGACGGUAAUUGUUUCCUAAACAAAAUAUGUAUUUGUUUCCUGUUACAUUUUCCACUUUUCCUUGAGCUUUUUUUUGUUGUUUAACUCUAGAGCUUUUUGUGAAAAUAAAAGCUAGUUGCACUGUCAUUUUCUUACUAUAUAUGGAACUUUAAUAUUGAAUUGUGAUAAGAUUCUGCUAUUCUGCCAAUUGCUAUUUGAGAAAUUCGAUUUAAUGGUGUUGUCUCUGAAAUAACCUGGAAAAUUGAUUAGUGUAAUCCCUCUGAAAUCAUACAGAGGAUUUUGAGUUUGUUCGGCUCAAAUUUCGGAUUACUGCGUCCAACAAGGUCGGUGUUCAAAACUCUUACUUGAUUUUUGUCAAUAUGUGAUUUUGUAUAUGCCUAGAAACACUGAUUUUAGGGUUGUGUAUUAGAAAUUAUAUCGGCAAAUUGUGGUCAUUGUUUCAACAUGACUGAAAUUAUAUAAAUGUGAGCAUGUUUCUGUGAUUCGAUGCUUGUUUAAAAUACUUUUUUGCAUCUAGAUAAUCAUGUCUUAAGGGAAUGUAAUAUCUGCCCAUUGAUAUUUCUCUAGUCAUGUUUCAGUUUUCUUCUUUCUUCUCUUUAGUUCUACUGUAAUUAAUCUAUAAAGCUUGAUAUGUUAGUAAUAUGGUACUCCUUAAAGUUAUGUGCUUCAAGUCGUUUGUGCUUGGAUUUCUAGUGGGAAUUUGAUACCUGGAUUACGUUUAAUCAUGACUGGACAUAAUUUACCUCCUCCUGCUGUGUUUUCAACUGCUUAACGGGCUAGCACAAUUUACUCUAUUAUGUAGGUUACUUAUUUUGAUGUCUUUAUCUUUAGUACCAAUAGAAGUGUUGAUUGAAAGAAACAUGGUAUACCAAAGAUCAUCCUCUAAGUCAAUGGCUCACAAAUUUCUCUGAAGCAAUCCAGUUUGCAGCUUCACUAUAGUCUUGUUGUGUAGCCCGGAAGAAUUGCAGCUUUAGCAUCUGAAUGAAGGACAAGGCUAGUAUACCUUCGCUAUCAAAGUGCAAGAUCAUAUUGCAAGAUUGAAAAGACAGUUGAGCUUGGUAGAUGGCCAGCAUCAACAAUUGAAAGCUGCCUCUGAUCUGUGAAUGUGUAUUAUCAUAAUAUCUACGACCAUCCAUCCAAUUUUACUCUGCAAAGAGCCCUAAUGAAAGUGUUCUUCUCACUUUUCUUCUCCUUUUUCCCUCUUUUUCUGGUUAUCUUUGACAACAUUAGAAUAAAGAAUUACAAAUGCACCAUCUAGAAGAAGAAAAGAUGUAAUAGGUUCAUUUCUUAGCAGAUUGAUACUGAGAUUAGUCCACUGAAACUUGUGAAACCUUGAUUACAUUUAAUUAUUAGACUUGAUUGUUGUGGUUGUCUUUAGCUACUUAGACUUGAUUGAAUGGGAUUUGAAUGUUUGACUUUAUUUGAUUGUUUAAUGCUUUAGUUAUUUGAAUUC
Molecule: long non-coding RNA, 1650 nt
Organism: Lycium ferocissimum
Lineage: Eukaryota; Viridiplantae; Streptophyta; Magnoliopsida; Solanales; Solanaceae
Exons: 3
Source: RefSeq, a predicted model, not a curated record